ACACAUGCAAGUCGUACGAGAACUCUUCUGCUUGCAGAAGAUAGUAAAGUGGCGCACGGGUGAGUAACGCGUGGGUAAUCUACCUCUAACUCGGGGAUAACAUUGCGAAAGUGAUGCUAAUACCGGAUAAUAUCUUAUUUGCUUCGGCAUUUAAGGUCAAAGGUGGCCUCUAUAUAUAAGCUACUGAUUGGAGAUGAGCCCGCGUACCAUUAGCUUGUUGGUAGGGUAAUGGCCUACCAAGGCUACGAUGGUUAGCUGGUCUGAGAGGAUGAUCAGCCACACUGGAACUGACACACGGUCCAGACUCCUACGGGAGGCAGCAGUGAGGAAUUUUGCGCAAUGGGGGAAACCCUGACGCAGCAACGCCGCGUGAGUGAUGAAGGCUUUCGGGUCGUAAAGCUCUGUCAAGUGGGAAGAACAAGCUUGAUGUUAAUAUCAUCAAGAACUGACGGUACCACUGAAGGAAGCACCGGCUAACUCCGUGCCAGCAGCCGCGGUAAUACGGGGGGUGCAAGCGUUAUUCGGAAUCAUUGGGCGUAAAGAGCGCGUAGGCGGCCCAUUAAGUCAGAUGUGAAAUCCCGGGGCUUAACCCCGGAAGUGCAUUUGAAACUAUUGGGCUUGAGUAUGGGAGAGGGAAGUGGAAUUCCUGGUGUAGAGGUGAAAUUCGUAGAUAUCAAGGAGGAACAUCGGUGGCGGACGCGACUUCCUGGACCAAUACUGACACAUGCAACG
RNAcentral lists this ribosomal RNA (732 nucleotides) under uncultured Desulfobacteraceae bacterium. RNAcentral's name for it is "bacterial SSU rRNA". It matches the Rfam family "Bacterial small subunit ribosomal RNA", at positions 51 to 753 of the family's 1533-position model. The record is from RNAcentral. Lineage: Bacteria; Pseudomonadati; Thermodesulfobacteriota; Desulfobacteria; Desulfobacterales; Desulfobacteraceae.